This 249-nucleotide ribosomal RNA is filed under the name uncultured bacterium. Its description in RNAcentral is "partial 16S ribosomal RNA". It matches the Rfam family "Bacterial small subunit ribosomal RNA", at positions 1252 to 1500 of the family's 1533-position model. The record is from RNAcentral.
AGACUGUAAAGUGGAGCGAAACCCAGAAAAGUACUCUCAGUUCAGAUUGUGGGCUGCAACCCGCCCACAUGAAGUUGGAGUUGCUAGUAAUCGCGGAUCAGCAUGUCGCGGUGAAUACGUUCCCGGGCCUUGUACACACCGCCCGUCACACCAUGGGAGUUGGGAGCGCCCGAAGCCGGUGAGGUAACCGAGAGGAGCCAGCCGUCGAAGGUGAGACCAAUGACUGGGGUGAAGUCGUAACAAGGUACC